RNAcentral lists this ribosomal RNA (1350 nucleotides) under Triticum aestivum (bread wheat). RNAcentral's name for it is "partial small subunit ribosomal RNA". Lineage: Eukaryota; Viridiplantae; Streptophyta; Magnoliopsida; Poales; Poaceae. The record is from RNAcentral.
AUGCUUUCACAACUUGACUUCAAAAUAUUUGGUUUGGAGACCAUCAAAGAUCAAUAUGUGCAUGAUGCUGAUUUUAAAGAUGUAAUGCAUAAUUGUAAAGAAGGAAGAAUGUGGAACAAGUUUGUUGUUAACGAUGGAUUUGUGUUUCGUGCUAACAAGCUAUGCAUUCCAGCUAGCUCCGUUCGUCCUUUGUUGUUGCAGGAGGCGCAUGGAGGAGGAUUAAUGGGACACUUUGGCGUGAAGAAGACGGAGGACGUACUUGCUACACAUUUCUUUUGGCCAAAGAUGAGACGGGAUGUUGAGCGUUUUAUUGCUCGCUGCACUACAUGUCAAAAAGCUAAGUCACGCCUCAAUCCUCAUGGUUUAUAUAUGCCUUUGCCUGUACCUAGUGUUCCUUGGGAGGAUAUAUCUAUGGACUUUGUUUUAGGUUUACCUCGAACAAAGAAGGGGAGGGAUAGCAUAUUUGUUGUCGUGGAUAGAUUCUCGAAAAUGGCACACUUUAUACCAUGUCAUAAAAGCGAUGAUGCUAUUAAUGUUGCUGAUUUGUUCUUUCGUGAAAUUAAUCGUGAUACUAAAUUUCUUAGCCACUUUUGGAGAUGUUUAUGGGCUAAGUUGGGGACUAAACUGCUUUUUAGUACUACUUGUCACCCCCAAACUGAUGGACAAACUGAAGUAGUCAAUAGAACGUUGUCUACUAUGCUUAGGGCUGUUUUGAAGAAUAAUAAGAAAAUGUGGGAGGAAUGCUUGCCUCAUAUUGAAUUUGCUUAUAAUCGUUCAUUGCAUUCUACUACUAAGAUGUGCCCUUUUGAAGUUGUGUAUGGUUUCCUACCUCGUGCACCUAUUGAUUUGUUGCCUCUUCCAUCUUCGGAGAAGGUUAAUUUUGAUGCUAAACAACGUGCUGAAUUGAUUUUAAAAAUGCAUGAGUUAACUAAGGAAAACAUUGAGCGUAUGAAUGCUAAAUAUAAACUUGCCGGAGAUAAGGGUAGAAAACAUGUUGUGUUUGCACCUGGAGAUCUUGUUUGGUUACAUUUGCGUAAGGAUAGAUUUCCUGAUUUGCGCAAAUCAAAGUUAAUGCCACGUGCUGAUGGUCCCUUUAAGGUGUUAGAGAAAAUAAAUGAUAAUGCAUAUAAACUUGAGCUGCCUGCAGAUUUUGGGGUUAGUCCCACUUUUAACAUUGCAGAUUUGAAGCCUUAUUUGGGUGAGGAAGAUGAACUUCCGUCGAGGACGACUUCAUUUCAAGAAGGGGAGGAUGAUGAGGACAUCAAUACAAUUGUUACACCCACAGCUCCUGCUGCUAUACAUACUGGACCAAUUACUAGAGCUCGAAACAGACCCUCGUGGUCAGGUUGA